RNAcentral lists this ribosomal RNA (504 nucleotides) under uncultured bacterium. RNAcentral describes it as "partial 16S ribosomal RNA". It matches the Rfam family "Bacterial small subunit ribosomal RNA", at positions 29 to 523 of the family's 1533-position model. The record is from RNAcentral.
AUUGAACGCUGGCGGCAGGCCUAACACAUGCAAGUCGAACGGUAGCACAGAGAGCUUGCUCUCGGGUGACGAGUGGCGGACGGGUGAGUAAUGCCUGGGAAACUGCCCGAUGGAGGGGGAUAAGUACUGGAAACGGUAGCUAAUACCGCAUAACGUCGCGAGACCAAAGUGGGGGACCUUCCGGCCUAACACCAUCGGAUGUGCCCAGAUGGGAUUAGCUAGUAGGUGGGGUAAUGGCUCACCUAGGCGACGAUCCCUAGCUGGUCUGAGAGGAUGACCAGCCACACUGGAACUGAGACACGGUCCAGACUCCUACGGGAGGCAGCAGUGGGGAAUAUUGCACAAUGGGCGCAAGCCUGAUGCAGCCAUGCCGCGUGUAUGAAGAAGGCCUUCGGGUUGUAAAGUACUUUCAGCGGGGAGGAAGGCGGUGAGGUUAAUAACCUCGCCGAUUGACGUUACCCGCAGAAGAAGCACCGGCUAACUCCGUGCCAGCAGCCGCCGUAA